Molecule: long non-coding RNA, 2355 nt
Organism: Sarcophilus harrisii (Tasmanian devil)
Lineage: Eukaryota; Metazoa; Chordata; Mammalia; Dasyuromorphia; Dasyuridae
Exons: 3
Source: RefSeq, a predicted model, not a curated record
CUCUCUCUCUCUCUCUCUCUUCUCUCUCUCUCUCUCCCUCUCUCUUCUUCGGUUAACUCCGCUUGUUUCUCGACAAAAUGGCGCCGGAGGUCGCGCGCUCACGUCGCGGCCUUUCCCCUCCCCGUUUCCAUUUCACCAUUCGCUGCCUGCACGGGGCGGGAGUCCUUGGACCUGGACCAAUCACGCUUCCAGACUUGUGACUUAUAUCCAAUCAGCGACGCGGGACCGCGGAUUUAAACCAAUCACAUGCUAUCACUCGAGGAAAGUAAGGAAGAAGCCCGGCUCUUUCUAUCAAGCACCAAUCCAAACUAAUCUUUCGCGGGCCUUGGCCAAUGGCAGCUCACCCGUCCCCAGGGAGCUGGAGUCAGACGGCUCGCGCCUGCGUUCGUGAGUCAGACCAAUGAGAGUGCGCUUAUACUUCCAUUUGGGGCUUUUCGGACAUCCCGCCUGCUCUCGAGAAUUUCGACCAAUAAGAUCGCGGCGCCGCAUCCCCGAGCAACAAUAAAUGAGGAGGAGGGAAGCGGGGGAGAUACAGGGAGAAUAAAAAUGACCACAGGCGGGAAUUUCUUCAGCACCCACAGCAUUUUUCUCUCUUCCCUUCUUUCAAGAGUAAUACAUCUCAAGAGUCCCCAUUCAAGAGACCAGAGUGACCAUCUGGAUCUCUCUCUUCCUCUUCUCCUCUUGAAAUACUGAGAGACAUCCCCUCCUAAGCAACCUCCUUACAAAUACCUUCUUUUGAUUGCUCCCCACCUCCGGACUACAUUUCCCAUAGUGCAACGCAACCUCGGGCAAAGGAGGGUUGCGGACCGAGUAUUUGCGUGUUGCAUUUUGGGACUCGUAGUUCCCGCAGAGGUGAAAAGUUGUAAGGGGAGCAGUCCUUGGAGCGAGGCGUGCUGGGAGCUGUAGUCUGUUGUGCUUUACACCUGGCCUUUAAAGAGAAAGGUUCCAUGCUGCCCUAGUUUCCCCAGGACAUACCUGUCUCCCCCUAUCCAGUCCAGGUGGGAGUAAGGGCCUCCUCUUUCUAAAUGACCAUAAGCACCGUCAGCGACUGAUCAGCUGGUCAAAGCCAGUGGGGACCGCCCCAAAGUUCCAGGAGUGGGAAAGUUAGAAUUGAGAGCACUCGGGAAACCUCCCGGAGUCCAGUUCAGUUCCUCAGGCCCCCGCGGGCUUACUCGGGAGGAGCUAACCAGAGGGAGCAUCAGGCACAAAGCUCUUAGCCGCCACACCUUGCGGCAGAGCCAACUCCUCCAAGCAUUUCUGCCCCUGAGAACGAAGCCUCCGAGAAGGAACUCCACCCUAACAUCAUCAGUGCCGAGAUCUAAUACUUCCCCAAGUUACUCUGAUCCCUCAGCCCUCGCCUCCCUCCAAAAGUCCAUAUACAGUCUUCGUAUUCACCAGGAAAAUUCUUAGAACUUGCCUUCAACCCAGUCUUCCCUCCUUCACUUUUGUUAUAAACAUUUCCUUUGCCUGGAAAAAAUAGCGGCAUUUGUGUAGUGCUCUGAGAUUCUCGAAAACACCCCACGCGUAUUAUCGCAUUUGAUGCUAAUCUACAACCCUGGGAAGUAGAUGCUGGUUUUGUCUCCAUUUUACAGAUGAAGAAACGGAGGCAGACAAGCAGUGAAGUGAUUUGACCAAGAAACACCUGAGGCUGGUUUUGAAUUGAGGUGUUUCCAACUUCAGAAAGGAGUGAGAAGGAAGAGAGUUCCUGCAGAAGGCAAGACUUGUGCUGACUCUUGCAGAAGUCUAAGAAACCUAAAAGGUUGAAGAGGAUGGGACAAUCAGUGCAUAGUUACAAAGGAAGCAGAUUCUUUCUUCCAAAGAAUUCCAGAGUUGGGGAGGGACCUAAGAGUCGAAAGAGACCAACCCAGAUUUGGAAGAUGAAAUCUGGUCCGACCUUUGAAUGGAAAUCCUUUCAACAAUAUAACCAAAAAGUGACUAUUCUGCCUCCGACUGAAAAGCAACUACUUAAACAAAUUCUUCUUUUGAAGAAUUUUAUUGUGGGAAGUUUUUCUGUGGAUCACAACUCAAUCUGCCUCUCUAUCAACUUGGAAUCAUAACUUUAUGUGGAAACCAUAGGGAACUACAGAAGCUUUCAGAGCAGAGGAGUAACAUGAUCAGUUCUGCUUUAAAAAAGUCAGUCUGACAGCAUUGGCAAUGGAGGGGAGAAAUUUGGGGCAAGGUGAUCAUACAGAGGAGGCAAGAGAGAUGAGGACCUGAACUAAGGUGUGACUAGAGAGAUGGGUGUGGAACAGGGAUCUGGUAAAUGUUUAACAAUCUGCUAGAGAAAGGGAAUGCAGGACACACUUUUAAGUUUAAUCUACAAUAGCCAAUCCACAAAACAAUAAACCAAGUCCU